AUUGAACGCUGGCGGCAGGCCUAACACAUGCAAGUCGAACGGUAACAGGAAGAAGCUUGCUUCUUUGCUGACGAGUGGCGGACGGGUGAGUAAUGUCUGGGAAACUGCCUGAUGGAGGGGGAUAACUACUGGAAACGGUAGCUAAUACCGCAUAACGUCGCAAGACCAAAGAGGGGGACCUUCGGGCCUCUUGCCAUCGGAUGUGCCCAGAUGGGAUUAGCUAGUAGGUGGGGUAACGGCUCACCUAGUCGACGAUCCCUAGCUGGUCUGAGAGGAUGACCAGCCACACUGGAACUGAGACACGGUCCAGACUCCUACGGGAGGCAGCAGUGGGGAAUAGUGCACAAUGGGCGCAAGCCUGAUGCAGCCAUGCCGCGUGUAUGAAGAAGGCCUUCGGGUUGUAAAGUACUUUCAGCGGGGAGGAAGGGAGUAAAGUUAAUACCUUUGCUCAUUGACGUUACCCGCAGAAGAAGCACCGGCUAACUCCGUG
Molecule: ribosomal RNA, 490 nt
Filed under: uncultured bacterium
Lineage: Bacteria
Description: partial 16S ribosomal RNA
Rfam family: Bacterial small subunit ribosomal RNA
Source: RNAcentral